UGAACAGCCAUGCCGCGUGGAGGAUGAAGGUCCUCUGGAUUGUAAACUUCUUUUAUCUGGGACGAAAAAAGGGAAUUCUUUCUCACUUGACGGUACCAGAAGAAUAAGCACCGGCUAACUCCGUGCCAGCAGCCGCGGUAAUACGGAGGGUGCAAGCGUUAUCCGGAUUCACUGGGUUUAAAGGGUGCGUAGGUGGGCAGUUAAGUCAGUGGUGAAAUCUCCGGGCUUAACCCGGAAACUGCCAUUGAUACUAUCUGUCUUGAAUACUCUGGAGGUAAGCGGAAUAUGUCAUGUAGCGGUGAAAUGCUUAGAUAUGACAUAGAACACCGAUUGCGAAGGCAGCUUACUACGGAGUCAUUGACACUGAGGCACGAAAGCGUGGGGAUCAAACAGGAUUAGAUACCCUGGUAGUCCACGCCCUAAACGAUGGAUACUCGACAUUUGCGAUACACAGUAAGUGUCUGAGCGAAAGCAUUAAGUAUCCCACCUGGGAA
RNAcentral lists this ribosomal RNA (494 nucleotides) under uncultured Sphingobacteriales bacterium. RNAcentral describes it as "bacterial SSU rRNA". It matches the Rfam family "Bacterial small subunit ribosomal RNA", at positions 384 to 879 of the family's 1533-position model. The record is from RNAcentral. Lineage: Bacteria; Pseudomonadati; Bacteroidota; Sphingobacteriia; Sphingobacteriales.